AUUGAACGCUAGCGGGAUGCUUUACACAUGCAAGUCGAACGGCAGCGCGGACUUCGGUCUGGCGGCGAGUGGCGAACGGGUGAGUAAUGUAUCGGAACGUUCCCAUUAGCGGGGGAUAACUACGCGAAAUCGUAGCUAAUACCGCAUACGCCCUACGGGGGAAAGCAGGGGAUCGUAAGACCUUGCACUAUUGGAGCGGCCGAUAUCGGAUUAGCUAGUUGGUUAGGUAACGGCUCACCAAGGCGACGAUCCGUAGCUGGUUUGAGAGGACGACCAGCCACACUGGAACUGAGACACGGCCCAGACUCCUACGGGAGGCAGCAGUGGGGAAUUUUGGACAAUGGGGGCAACCCUGAUCCAGCCAUCCCGCGUGUGCGAUGAAGGCCUUCGGGUUGUAAAGCACUUUUGGCAGGAAAGAAACGUAGCGGGCUAAUACCCCGUGGAACUGACGGUACCUGAAGAAUAAGCACCGGCUAACUACGUG
RNAcentral lists this ribosomal RNA (484 nucleotides) under uncultured bacterium. Its description in RNAcentral is "partial 16S ribosomal RNA". It matches the Rfam family "Bacterial small subunit ribosomal RNA", at positions 30 to 507 of the family's 1533-position model. The record is from RNAcentral.